RNAcentral lists this transfer RNA (73 nucleotides) under Corticibacter populi. It matches the Rfam family "tRNA". From Rfam's summary of the family: Transfer RNA (tRNA) molecules are approximately 80 nucleotides in length. Their secondary structure includes four short double-helical elements and three loops (D, anti-codon, and T loops). The record is from Rfam by way of RNAcentral. Lineage: Bacteria; Pseudomonadati; Pseudomonadota; Betaproteobacteria; Burkholderiales; Comamonadaceae.
GGGUCUUUAGCUCAGCUGGUAGAGCAGCGGACUUUUAAUCCGUUGGUCGCGGGUUCGAAUCCCGCAGGACCCA